This 503-nucleotide ribosomal RNA is filed under the name Clytia noliformis. RNAcentral describes it as "partial 16S ribosomal RNA". It matches the Rfam family "Bacterial large subunit ribosomal RNA", at positions 1868 to 2540 of the family's 2925-position model. The record is from RNAcentral. Lineage: Eukaryota; Metazoa; Cnidaria; Hydrozoa; Leptothecata; Clytiidae.
GAUCUUUAAUGAAUAAUUAUAAUAUAAUUUGAAUAAGAUUAAAAGGACGCGGUAACCUUGACCGUGAUAAUGUAGCAUAAUCACUCGCCAUUUAAUUGGUGGAUAGUAUGAAUGGUUGAACGAAUAUUCCACUGUCUUAAGAAGAAUUAAAGGAAAUUGAAAUAAUAGUUAAGAUGCUAUUUACAACUGUAAGACGAAAAGACCCUAUAGAGCUUAACUAUAAUCUUUAUUAAAACAAAAAGAAAAUCAUUUCGAUUUAAAUAAAGAUUGGUAGUUUAGUUGGGGCGACUACCUUCUAAAUAAAACGAAGGCAAGCAAUAUUAAUAAAUAAUUUAUUGUAUAAUUAAAACAUUUAACAAUUAUAAAAAUAGGCUAUAAUGACCCGUUAAUUAUUAAAAAUAAUAUUAACGAUCAAUUAAUAAAAGCUACCUUAGGGAUAACAGGAUAAUUUCAUUUUAGAGUUCCUAUCGAAAAUGAAGUUUGUCACCUCUAUGUUGAAUUAA